RNAcentral lists this unclassified non-coding RNA (137 nucleotides) under uncultured Oidiodendron. Its description in RNAcentral is "sequence contains ITS2". Lineage: Eukaryota; Fungi; Ascomycota; Leotiomycetes; Myxotrichaceae. The record is from RNAcentral.
CAACCCUCAAGCUCUGCUUGGUAUUGGGCCCUGCCCGCUGCGGCCCCUAAAGACAGUGGCGGUGCCGCCUGGCCCUGAGCGUAGUACGUCUCUCGCUCCAGUGCUUGGUGGUAGCCUGCCAGAACCCCAACUCUCGU